This 71-nucleotide transfer RNA is filed under the name Marmota monax (woodchuck). RNAcentral describes it as "tRNA.Ala". The stretch from base 7 to 67 matches the Rfam family "tRNA", at positions 6 to 65 of the family's 71-position model. Rfam says of the family: Transfer RNA (tRNA) molecules are approximately 80 nucleotides in length. The record is from RNAcentral. Lineage: Eukaryota; Metazoa; Chordata; Mammalia; Rodentia; Sciuridae.
UUGGGCUGUAGCUUGGUGGUAGAGUGCUUGCUUAGCAUGUGUGAGGUCCUGGGUUCGAUCCCCAGCACAAA